UUCUGAGACACGUUAAUGUCUACAAAACAUUAGGAAGCCGGAGGCGAUCUUGUCACACAGAUGUUGAGAGGUUAUCGUGAUGCCUCUGCUGUUAUUUCACGGGUUUUAUGGUACCACGCCACACAUCGCAUACUCUCUAGCCAGGGAACGCAAUGGAGAUUGUUGUGCCUGCUUGCAAGGUCUGGAGCCAGGGCAGCCGUAUUGGGCCCAGGAGGGAAGAUAUCCAAGAAAUACAUGCUGAGAAUAGCAGCACUAAAAAUGGAAAGAGCCUCAGCUAUUCACCAUGUCACUGGCUUGCCGAAUGACCAACCCCAGAGCUUCUCUACCUUGGAACUUCUUGUGAUGUACGUUGAUAAACCCCUGGUAGCUCACCCCAGCUGGGGUUGAAUCUUCUGUUUCCUGCAGCUGAAGGCAUUCCAUCUGGCUUGCUUCUCUCACGUGAUUGACCCAUUGUCUUCCUGGUGGCUAAGAAACAUGACUUUCUCAUGCCAACAGUGACCAUGAGCACUGCAUCAGACCAGGCCCCACGGCUGAUACAAGGAGUUCCCAGGAGACAAAGCCCUGUCUUGGGAAGUGAGGUUAGAGAGACAAGACAGAGGGGCGUGGGAAGUUGACAGCAAACCUAGAGCAGUCACAAGGACAAGGAACGGGGCAGUGAGUGCUCUGGCACCUCAUGGUUCACAGUGGGCCAGACUGUGGGGGCACCAGGGAGGGCUUCCAAAUAGUCAUAGCAAAGGAUCUUUCUGCAUCUGAUUACCAACUCCUUCACUGUUCUACCAUUCUUUAAGGAGGCCCCACGUGGAACUGGCGUAUUUCUUACAUGGAUGGCUGUCCUCCCUAGACCAUGGUUGAUUCUGACCUACAGAACAUUUCCAUCAUCACCCUAAGUUCUAUCAGAAGGCACUGCCUUUG
RNAcentral lists this long non-coding RNA (912 nucleotides) under Homo sapiens (human). Its description in RNAcentral is "HSALNT0234728". The record is from RNAcentral. Lineage: Eukaryota; Metazoa; Chordata; Mammalia; Primates; Hominidae.